AUGGAGCCUUGGAUUUCCUGCCAGGGAAUGGGCAGUCAGCCAUUGGAGCUGCAGGGCUGCCUGGAAGCAUGGCUCAUCCGAGCACUGCAGGUUGGAGCAUGUGGGCCAGAUGCAGCUUUUCCAUCACACCUGCCUCCAGGAAGAGCUCUCCCUGCUGAGCUGUGACAAACCCAGCAGCAGCUUAGUGUUGGUGGGGGCAGUCGGCCCCUUAGUGUGUGGUUCUGUGUGUACUGAUGGUUAAAUAAAACAUCUCUGCACAGAGCA
RNAcentral lists this long non-coding RNA (264 nucleotides) under Chrysemys picta bellii (western painted turtle). RNAcentral describes it as "lncRNA (ENSCPBG00000023841.1)". Lineage: Eukaryota; Metazoa; Chordata; Testudines; Emydidae. The record is from RNAcentral.